Molecule: long non-coding RNA, 1328 nt
Filed under: Sus scrofa (pig)
Lineage: Eukaryota; Metazoa; Chordata; Mammalia; Artiodactyla; Suidae
Description: lncRNA (ENSSSCG00070018151.1)
Source: RNAcentral
GAGGGAGGAGCUGCCGCGCGCCCGCCACCGCCGCUCGGCUCCACACCGCCAGCGCAGCCCCGCCACGAGACUCUGACAGCCGCGCGGCCCGCGCUGCUCGGGCGCACAGGGACUGACGGACGGCGGCGGUGGCGAGGGAGGACUGAGGACCGCUGCCCCGCGCCUAGUCCGGGAGGCGUGCAGGUCCAGCGGCGGAUAGAGGUCUCCUCUGAAGCAGCUGGAGCUCAGCGGGCCUCAUCACCCCUGAGGAGCAGGCCAGCCAAGAGAGCAGAAAGGGAUGGCGGGAAGCCCACCAGGGCCCGAGGAGUGACCCUCAGCUACAGCUCCUGGGACCUGGAGGCUCCUAGUCGGGGGACUGCACCAUUGGGGAGACUCAAGAAGAAUUGAUAUGUCAGUCCCUGGUGACAUGUACACGGUGUAAUGACAGGAAAUGAGCAGGUUUGCAGAGAAGCUGCUGGCUUGAAAUUUAAGAAGAAGGCAUCGUUGCUUGUGAGUCUGAAUUUUGCUUUCUUAGGACUGUGGCUUGACAAUGUUCCUGGGGAAGUGGGUGGAUUUCCCUGUUCGGGGAAGGGAGCAUGACCUUGAUGGAGUUGGCUUUCAUUCUGCAGGCAGGUGCCUCUGGCUGGGUGGGGCUGGAACCAGGAGGUAAGGCCACCAAGGCACCUGGUUUGAAGCCUCGCUCUCCCCUCUGAGUGGAGAGGGCUUCCACUGGCUCAUGGAAGAGAAUCACCCCCCGCACCGUGGUUGAUGGGUGUGGGGGAGAGCAGGACUCCUCUGGUAUGAGGAUGACGUGCAUUUUUUUACCCUGAGGCCACAAGCAGUGUGUGCAAUUCCAAGUUUGCUGCUAGGGUGACCUUAUUUAGAACAGUAAAUUCUCAUAGAAGCCAUUUAACAGUGUGUUAAACUAGGAGCAAUCACAUGACCCAAUCCAUUUCUCACUCUGAGAAUAUUAUUAAUUCACUGGGUACCUGGCACUAUCUGGGGGCUCUGAGAAAUAGAAGAGAAGCAGCAGGUUCAGGCUCUGUUUUGGAGGAGCUGUUAGUCCAGCGUAGGAAGGGAAGACACCUGCACCAGAGAUCAUGAAAAACUUUAUGAAAGGGCUGGUAGGGCAUAGGCAGAGAUGCUGGUGAGGGACAGGGCUAAGGAAGACUUCCUGGGGAAAGAGACCUGAGCUGGGCUGAUGGAGGAGGGAGGCUGUUUCAGGGAGAAAAGAGCAAGGCAGAGGUACCGGGAUGGGAGCACCUGACAGCCCACAUAGAGGAUGUCAUAGACAUGGGGCUCACUGGGGAGGGAGGAAACACUGGUGACACUGGGCACGGCCUGAUGGU